RNAcentral lists this long non-coding RNA (7159 nucleotides) under Ananas comosus (pineapple). RNAcentral describes it as "long non-coding RNA (ACOM_LNC020581)". Lineage: Eukaryota; Viridiplantae; Streptophyta; Magnoliopsida; Poales; Bromeliaceae. The record is from RNAcentral.
UUACAGGUUCACGCGUGAGCUGCGCGGCGGCGCGAGGCGAGGGCGUAGCAUCAUAGUUAGCGCUCUACCACCGAGACGAGAGAUAGCGGUACCCCGAGUCGGUUACUUAAGGAUGUAAAGAAUGAAAAGAAUCAAGUUGUAAUAAUCAUAUUAAAUCGGAUUGUAUUUGGAAGUUAAGUGAAAGCUAAUGUAAGAAUCUAAUGAGAUUUGUGAUGCAAAAAUGUAUGAAUGUGAAUGCAUGUAAUAACAUAGAAUGUGUUAUGUUGUUUGAUACCUUCCAUUAUGCAAUCUUGAUUGAAAUGUGUUCCUGGUUGGAACUUCGCACAUUGUAUUGAUUGCUAUGUCUUGAACGUACAGGGGAGACUCUGUCUGCAGUACAGGGGAAACUCUGUCCAUUCGGCGAUCUGUUGGCGUGCCCGAAACCAACCAAAUAGGCGGGCUCGGGGCGUGACAGGUAUAUUACUUGUGUUCUUGCUCUUAGAUGUAUUACACUUGCGUGCAUCGUAUUUGAUCAUGUAUGUUAUUUAAGCAAAUUCCUAGGUGCUUAAUUGUACAUGAUCUGGUUGCUUAGCCUUGGGCGGACAGGAGAGGUGCUGUCCGUUCGACGUCCGUCCGCCGCGCCCGAACCGGACCAGAUUGGUAGCGGUAUCGGGGCGGGGGCGUGACACGCCGGCCUCGAGCUGGGUUGAGCUCGGCUCUAGUGGUUCUGGGUUGGCCGCAGUGAGCUCGGACGGGGACGGCGGGGGCCAGCGGGGGAGACGCCGGAGAUGGGCCUCAACCCGAGGUUGAAGACUCCACAGGUUAAGGUGACAUCCAGAGGCCGACAGCCACGGUGGUUGGAACAAAAUGAGAGAGAAGUUGAGAGGGAGGUUCUUCCGGCGGCCGGAGCAGCUUGCCGGAUGCCGGGACGUGAGAACGGUGAGGGCAGGGAAGGGCUGAGGUCAGCUAGGGUUGGCUGGGGGGUGAUGGUCGGCUAGGGCUAGGGUUUGAACAAGAAAACCCUAACAGCCCUAUUUAUACCAAACGUAAUUUUGCAGCGAACCCCCUCAAGGUUGAUUAUUCACAGUCCAGCCCUCGACAGCACGUGUAUUUUGCACUCCCGCACCUCGACGUUCGAAACCGUGCAAAACGGUACAUAAAAUAUUGGACCUUUCGCAAUUUUUCCAUUUUGCCGAUUUCGACCUCUCAGCGAAGAUUUCGCUAUUCCCGAAGAUCUGUCCGUCGGAUUUUCGAUCGGAUUGCGCCAGCGCGUUCAGCACGACUGGGGCAUUGAAUCUACAACUUGUUUCAUCUCAUUUGGUUACUGAAUUGCGACGAAACCCAUCCCCUCUCCAAUUUUCCAAACACCACGCAUGUACAAAUGUGUAAACCCACUAAACCUUAAAUUCAAAGUCGAAUUUGAAUCCCCUACCCCCAGUAGGUACCUGAAACAUCCUCCACCCAACUCCAGGUCACAUGCAUAGGGCACGAGGGGUUUUAAAAUGCAAGAAUGGCAUGGAACAAAAACCCUCUUUUCGAUAAAACUCCUUUUUCUCGAAAAUCGUGCAUCAAAAUCCAAAUCCGUCAAUGCCAUUGGUUCCAGAAUAGCUGAACCGAAUGAAACGAGCUAUUGGAUUGCUAUGAACGGAGUCCGAUACACGCCAGAAGCCAUAUCUACUCAUCAGCCUCUUCGGAAAACCGGAGUUACUAUUCACCUUAAGUGAUUAGUAAUGAUCACGUAACUUCACCAUUCUAACUCGUUUUCUCCUGAAACUUGACAAGCGCUUAUGUAAUUAAAUUACACACAAAAAUAUUAUCAACAGAGAGUUUAGCUACACUGCCAAAAUCUCAGUCCUUACAACAUACUACACUUGCCCUUUCUAUUCCCAACGCCUUCGUCCAUAACAUUACAAAUAUGCGUAGAUCUGGGUCGUCUCUUUUUUCUUCUCCCACGUGGUGGAAGUAUAAGUGAAUUAUAUGACUCGAUCCAAUAACGACGAUUGGGAACGAGGUGGAACUGCGGUUUAUAAGCCUUACGAUAGGAUGCGACAGUAUACCAAAGAGAACAUAAGCCAUAAUAACCUAUGUUCAUGUGUGAAGAACUAUAAUAUGACAAAAUAUGUGAACAAGCGAUUUAUGUGAUUUGCAAACACAAACAUGAACAAGUAGAAUCUCUUCCAUUGAUAAUCACUUGGUAUUGAUCAUCCCUUCCAGUAAGUACAUCGCUCGUGAGCUCUAAAUCGUCGAACUGUAUAUGCUCUAGCACAUGACAUUCAGCUAUUGAUGGUGUUAUCAACAGUCUAGACACGAUGAAUGGUUCACUGCGUCCAGACACAAUGAAUGGUUCACCAUGUUCCUUGGCCCUAAGGGCAUGUUUGGUUCACUUCUUUUUCACCCUGGAAUCGGAAUCGGAAUGGGCCGAAUCCGUUUGUGGGUGUUUGGUACGCGAAAGUCCCAUUCCGAUUCUGAUUCCCGAGUGGAAUGGGAAUCCCCCAAUCACCUCUUUCUCCAAUUCGGCCUAAAAGGCCGGAUUGAAAGUUGAAUCCGGACAGAAUGGAUAUUUAUUUAGAUUAAAUUUAUUUUUUCAACUUUUUAAUUAAAAUAUGAGUUUAAAUCUAGAAAUUAAAUAUAUAAUUUUAAAUUUUAAUUUGAACUUGAGUUAAAAUUAAAAUUUAAUCGUAUUUCAAAUCUAACUUAUGAAUUUGAAUUUAAAUUAAAUUUGAAUUUAAUUAAAGUUUUGUUCAAAUUUUAUUUAAAACUUAAAGUAUGUUAAGGAUUUUAUAAGUUGGCAGAUUUCGUGAAGGGUUUGGAUAGAGUCUCGAAGAAUUAGAAGAUGAAGAUUGACGAAAAGAAUUGAAGUUUUGUGAUCAAAGACCCUUGAGAACUCAGGUAUGAUUAGAGACAAUUUGUGGUGAAGUUUUCAUUAUUAAAAGAUGUUUAGAAGACUUGUUUUUCUUUUCAUUUUUUUUAAAAAGUUUUCUGAAAAAAAUCAGGGGUCGGGGACCGGUCCUUGAUCAGAGGGACCGGACCCAUCAAGCUUCUCUGCGUAGAAGUUUUGGGAGACCGGUCUCUGGUCUUGAGGACCGGUCCCCGUAAGUGGUUUUCCUUGUUGCGCAGGGAGGGACCGGUCUCUAAAUUGAGGACCGGUUCCCGUACGCAUAUUUUGACAUCUACGCAGCGUAAGACCGGACCUCACCUUGGAGGACCGGUCCCCCAAGGACCGGUCUCCUCGAGAGGAGGACCGGUCUCCUCGAGAGGACCGGACCCUGAGACCGUCGUCUGUUUUUAAAUUCGAGUUUUUGGAAUCCUAGUCUAUCUAGAAGUCUUCUAAACCUAUAAAUAUGAUAUGAGGAUCUCCAUAUGACCUGAGUUGAGCAAGAUAAUCUUUUAGAAACCCGAACGGCUUGAUUUGAGUUUUUUUGAUUCAUGUUUCUCAAGAUCAAGUUUUAGAUCACCGGUUUGAUUCUUCAGUUUUUGAUUCAAACUUUCUUUAAGGAUCAAAUUGGUGAUGUUUUGAUUUGGAUUUCUCCUCAUAUCAUAUGUGCUUUCAAAGAGUUUAAAUCACCAUAAAUUGUUAAAUCUCUACGAGCUUCGGAUGGAGCGUUAGCGCGUGGAUUUCGCGUGAAGACCGUGGAUUCGGUGGGCGUUUCGUGGAAUCGAGGCGUGAGUGGCUGCAAGGAUUUGCAGUGUGAUCGGUUGGAGGAUUUCAAGCGAUCGAGGACUGGCAAAGAUAUUCUACAACGAGAAUUCGGUAUUUCGAAUCUUGUAUUUUUGAUAAAUCACUUGUACUCAUAUUUUCUUAGUGGAUUUCUUUGUGUGGUCGGUCCCGUGGGUUUUUCUCUCCGGUUUGGAGUUUUCCCACGUUAAUUCUCGGUGUGCUGAUUUUAUUUUUCCGCAUUCUAUUUUAAUUUUGCAUCGAGUUUCGAGAUUGUUGCCGUUUACACCUAUUCACCCCCCUCUAGGUGUCUUUUACCUUUUAGAUCCUAGGGAUCCAUAACUUACAAAGUAAAUUUAUGGAUUCAAAUUAAAAUUUAAAUUGUAAUUUUAAGUUUGAAUUUGAAUAGAUCAAAAUUUAGUUUUAAAUUUGGAAUUAUCCACUCAACUUCAAAGUUCAAUCACCUUUUUUUCCAAUCCGGCCUAAGAUGCCAUAUCGAAAGUUGAAUCCGGACGGAAUGGAUAUUUAUUUGGAUUAAAUUUAUUUUUUCAACUUUUUAAUUAAAAUAUGAGUUUAAAUUUAGAAAUUAAAUAUAUAAUUUUAAAUUUUAAUUUGAACUUGAAUUAAAAAUUAAAAUUUAAUCAAGUAUUUCAAAUCUAACUUAUGAAUUUGAAUUUAAAUUAAAUUUUAAUUUAAUUAAAGUUUUAUUCAAAUUUUAUUUAAAACUUAAAUUAAAUUUAUGGAUUCAAAUUAAAAUUUAAAUUGUAAUUUUAAGUUUGAAUUUGAACAAAUCAAAAUUUAGUUUUAUAUUUGGAAUUAUCCACUCAACUUCAAAGUUUAAUUUUUUUUAAAAAAAAUAGAUUUAAAAUUUUGACAUUAUUUUAAAAUUUUGAUGUAAAUUUUUAAUAUUUAAUUUUCAAUUUAAAUUUAAAUUAAUAUAUUAUAAAGAUAAAGUUAAUAUAUUAAUUUGAUUACGUUUUUUUAUAUCUAUUUAAAUUAAACAACGACAAUGGGAAUAAUUUAUUUCGAUUCCGAUUAAGGUGAUGAAUCAAACAAAUUAGGUAAUGAGUCUUCCAAUUCCGAUUUUAGCUUAUUUUGAUUCUGAUUCUAACUUCGAACCAAAUACACCCUAAGUUCCUUAAUUUACCUAAGUCGUGUAUUCACCUAAGUUUACUAAUAAGUAAUACACUAAACACGGAAAAUCGUUCACCGUAUUCAGUAAAGAUAUUAUUCACCGUGUUUAGACACGAUGAAUAAUUUACCGUGUUCAACUUAACACACUGGCUUCAGUCCCGCUCACGUGGCACUGACGUGACGUCUGUAUGACAUGAUGAAAAUUAUUUUUAUAAAUAUAAAUUUGUUGGGACUAUUUUUAAAAUAAAAUUUUUUCGGAAAACCAAAUUCAAAAAAAAAAAAAUAAAAAAAAAGCCCCCCGCUGAGUUGAAUUACGAAUGCGGAGCGGCCAUUAAUAAGAGCUGUCGCCGAGCGGCCCCAAACCCAAAUCCAAUCUUACAUUACAUCUAUCUCUCUCUUUCUCGGCAAUGGCGCCUUUGCGUCUUUUAGUGCUGUUAUUUUUUUUAUCAUUAUUGGAGAGCCAAAGUUCCGGUGCGAGUAGAUCGAGAAAUUAAGAAAGGGUUUAGAGAAGAGGAGGAAGGGCCGCAUUUUGAUGGGGCCGGCGGCGGCGGCUGCGGCUGCGGCGAGGCCGCAGAAGGCGUCGGCGGCGGGAGGGGUUCCGGCGAGAUGGGUUUGCGCGCUCUGCGCCUCUUGCUUCGUCUUCGGCGUAUUUGUUAUCAACAGGUGCGUAAUGCCUAUCCUGCUUUCUCUCUCUCUCUCUCUCUCUCUCAAUUGAUUGGGAUUGGGAUUGGGAUUGGGAUUGGAUUUGGAUUGGGAGCGUUUGCUCUGUUAAUGAACUGAGUUUUGGUCGGGAAUGAGUUUUUACUGUUGCCGUGGGAGGGAAACCUUGAUCGAAGAUUGGACCAUUUCUUUGCUUGGUUUUUCAUGAUUUGUGUGUGCUGCUGUCUUGUUCCUUGCUUUUUAUUUUUUAUUUAUUUCAUUUUCUUUUUUUUUUUUUUGGUUGCUUGUCCUGGGUAAAAUCUGCUUGCGGGUGGACACCAUUGCUUUAAUCUUCUUUUCCGAAGAAGAGCGGAAGGAUUGCUCAACGUAAGUGUGUUAGCUUCGAUUUUUGGCCCUGCCUCUGCUUCUGGUUUCAGGAGUCUUUAGUUGAGCAGCUGGCAAAGAGAAAAGAAUGAAAGCUUUUGCCGUCGAUUCUGUGUCUCGAAAGGAGAAGCUCCCAUUUCAUGCUUCUAAUUUAUGACAGAUAUAAUGCAUCUCCUGGUAGAACUGCUAACAGCACCACAUCUUAUGGCAGGGCAAAGUAGGCCCGAAUUCACAACAAUGAUGCGAUCUGCAGCACGUGCGUUAAAUGAAUUGCAGUAGCAGCUAUUAAUGAUUCUUUUGUGCUAAUUCUCUCUUCAGAUUCUUAUAUUUGGACUGGAAUAUGACUACCGUUUAAACUCUAGCUCUUUGGCUAGAUUCAUAUGCAGCUGGCUUUAAAAUGUUGUAAAACAUGAAAAGAAGAAAGAUGCCUUGUUCAUUUAUCUGAAGAAAUAAGGAAUAUAGGUGGUGUUUGGUUCCAUGUAAUCUGUAUUUUCCAUGGAAAAUUAAAUUCGUAUUUAAAGGCAUUUGGUCUGCAUAAGAUGAGAACAGAUUUCAAAAGGAUACCUGUUUGGCUUGCAGAAAAGAAAAAUGAAUAUACUGAUAUGAGUAAGAAAGAGAGGUAUCUUCAAUGUUCAGUCUGCAUUUUCCACUUCAAAAAAUGGAAUAUGUAAACAAGUUCCCUUAAUAUGCAUAAAGCUAUUUUUCAUGAGAAAGCAUUUCAUGGGUGACCAAAUGCUCGGAAAACUGUGUUCCGGCUUGAAAAUGGUUAGCGUGCCUCUUUUAUGUGGAACCACACGCCGGCUUGUUGGUUGACAUCCUUGUUGCUCUACUAGUUGCUUCAUUUUGUCACCCCACGUAAAAUUUUUUGAAACUUAGGUCUCUACAUUUUUUGUAUAGUUUGUUUUUAUGCUGUACCUGACAUCCAGCGUAACAAAGAAAAAGAGUUCAUAUACUCACCAACACCAAUUAAUUUGGAGAAAGUUGCUUUGUAGGUUAGUGUGUUUUUUCUCAAAAUUACUUUUUCAUCUAGUUCUUUGUGACGUUUGUUUUGCUUGUUGUGACUUUCUCUUGAUUCAAUGUUGCAGGAAUAUUGUUUCCUUAACAUAAUCGUAUUGAUCCUUCAGCCAAAUUUGAUGAUAGGAUCGCUGCACCUGUUUUUAUAGUUUUAAAUAUAACAUAUUAUGUUUCUUUGAAUUUUGCAGGAUUUGGAGUGUUCCUGAGCCUGUCAAGCUAAAUGAAAAAGCUUUAUUUGUGGAAAGGACCCAAACUAGACUAUCCGAAGUUUAUAUUCCAUGUCAAAGAAAAGUAAGUGCUACAGAAUUCCCAAUGCUAUAUUUAUCUCCCUUUUCUAUAGUACUUUUGUUUGUU